Molecule: ribosomal RNA, 466 nt
Filed under: uncultured bacterium
Lineage: Bacteria
Description: partial 16S ribosomal RNA
Rfam family: Bacterial small subunit ribosomal RNA
Source: RNAcentral
GACGAACGCUGGCGGCGCGCCUAACACAUGCAAGUCGAACGAGCGAGAGGAGGUUUACUUUCUCAAGCGAGUGGCGAACGGGUGAGUAACGCGUGAGGAACCUGCCUCAAAGAGGGGGACAACAGUUGGAAACGACUGCUAAUACCGCAUAAGCCCACGACCCGGCAUCGGGUAGAGGGAAAAGGAGCAAUCCGCUUUGAGAUGGCCUCGCGUCCGAUUAGCUAGUUGGUGAGGUAAUGGCCCACCAAGGCGACGAUCGGUAGCCGGACUGAGAGGUUGAACGGCCACAUUGGGACUGAGACACGGCCCAGACUCCUACGGGAGGCAGCAGUGGGGAAUAUUGCACAAUGGGGGAAACCCUGAUGCAGCGACGCCGCGUGGAGGAAGAAGGUCUUCGGAUUGUAAACUCCUGUCGUUGAGGAAGAUAAUGACGGUACUCAACAAGGAAGUGACGGCUAACUACGUG